UUUUUUUCUAAUUGAUUUUUUGUUCUGAGAUUUUUUUUCCAUGCCAUUUUUUCCGACCAUACUUGAAAACAAUUUCGGUUUCUAACAACAGGAGCCAUAUUUGACCCAAAGAUAUCUGCGACUCUAAUUGUACAUCAUUAUAUAGGCCUAGAGAGCAACCGGGAUCCCUCAGAGGCAUGCUGCCACACGUGCUUUCUGUGACGGGACCGUUCAGGUGUUUUUCUACAGCGUUGUGAAGAAACACUUCUUUAGAUCCUCCUCGAUGUCGAAUGUUUCACUGAUUGAUGAUGUGAUGACAAGGUGUGGAAUUCAACAUGAAGGAUUAACUGGAUGGAUCGCUUCGAGUCGUGCAAACAUGAAAGACAUGGCUCCUACAGUGGCAGCCGUCCUUGCAAGUCUGCCUCAGUCAUCAUAGUAGUUCCCUAUUCUAUCAAGAAGUACUCGAGAAGCCAUGCCUCGGUUGGGUAUUUGGUUGCUCUCGUUUUGGCAUUGUCCUUUUUUGUUGUGCUUGUGAGUGUGGUGGCCUAUUGAUUGUGCAACAUCUUAUUUUCAACACUCUGUUUUACUUUGAUCAAUUAUUAGACUUUUAUACUUAUUUAUAACUUUUUCGUAAUACAUCAUAUUAAAUAAUUUUUUGUAAUAUGAUAAUGAUAAUUAAUCAGAUCACAAUGUUGCUAAAAUAUUAGUAAUAAUAUUAUUUAUAAUAUUGUUGUAAUAUCUAUCAUUAAAAAAUACAUGUGCACUGCACUAAAUUUAAGUCAUAUUUG
Molecule: long non-coding RNA, 767 nt
Filed under: Triticum aestivum (bread wheat)
Lineage: Eukaryota; Viridiplantae; Streptophyta; Magnoliopsida; Poales; Poaceae
Description: long non-coding RNA (TAES_LNC011045)
Source: RNAcentral